CAGUAAGUAGUUUAAUUGAAAAAUUUGGGUUUUGGGGAUUUAAGAUGCUUUGUAAGCUUUACUGA
This 65-nucleotide transfer RNA is filed under the name Idioscopus sp. 'myrica'. Its description in RNAcentral is "tRNA-Pro". The record is from RNAcentral. Lineage: Eukaryota; Metazoa; Arthropoda; Insecta; Hemiptera; Cicadellidae.